This is a long non-coding RNA of Leucoraja erinaceus (little skate), 1590 nucleotides long. RefSeq lists it as uncharacterized. The record is from RefSeq and is a predicted model, not a curated record. NCBI's taxonomy places the organism in Eukaryota, Metazoa, Chordata, Chondrichthyes, Rajiformes, Rajidae. The transcript has 2 exons.
AUUCUGGGAUAAAGGUUCUGACUGCCUACCUCAAUGUUUCUCAUAACUUUUUAUACUUCUAUCAGUUCUCCCUUCAACCUCCUGUGUUCUGGAGACAACAAUCCAAGUCUAUCCAUGUUCUCUAGUGGGACUCCAGCUUAAAUGGGGCACCUUGGUCAGCAUGGACAAGUUGGGCUGAAGGGCCUAUUUCCGUGCUGUACGAAUCUUCUCCCCGCAGCUAAUACCCACUGAACCAGGCAUCAUUCUAGUAAAGUUCCUCUGCAUGCUCUCCAAAGCGUCUUAAACACCGCUAUCGUGUCCGCCUCAACCAGUACCUCUGGCAACGCAUUCCAGGCACUUGCUACCCUCCAUGUAAAAAAGAAACUGGCCCCACGCAUCAUAUCUGUCUAUCUGUUUCUGCCUGUCUUGUAAGGGUUGCCAGCUUGUGGGUGUCAGCCUUUGAUUCGUUGCUACGCCAACACCUGACCCACAAACGCCCAGAUUUUUUUUCCAUUUCGGUAGAUAUUUCACUUUUCAUUCCAAGUAUCCACUCCUCAUUAAAUUUCGUCGUAUUUUUUAUGUACACAUUUUUAAUAAAAUCCUUCUCUCCCCCCGCCACUCACUCAUUUUGUCGCCUCCUGCUGGCCAGCGACCAUAACGGCUGCUGGCGCCCGCCUCUUGCCUCAAAGACGCCAUUUAAAAACAGCCGCACUGCUGAGUGCUCGAAUCUUCAGUUUGGAGGACCACGUCUCCUGUGGGGGCUACGGGCAGGGAACGGCUGCGUUGGGGGAGAAGACCCAGCGGACUGUCAGCAUCCGCAGUACAGGUCGACCACUGAUUUUCUGGCAACUGGUGGUCCGGCACCUCCUUUAAUUUGGACAAAAUUACAAGAGUGCACUUGAAAUCCCCACCGGACGUCCCUCCGAAGAUGUGGCGCCUUGGCCGGGCGAGGCGACCAAUCUUGGCGUCAUUGGGACUUCCGCGGCCGAUCAGCUGGUCGAAUUUGCCCCCUGCGGCCAGGACUCUGGCACCCCGGCCUGGCUGGAGAUGGCAGAUCCGUUCCCAUAGCUGAUUUCCGAGGCCGACUUUGUGGGCUGGUAUCCUCUCGGAGGCCGUGACCUCUGUUUGUCCGGCAAAACAGAUAAUCCAGAAAGGCUCUGGAAACAAGGGUGCCGGAAAAUCUCUGGUGGGCCUGUGUUUUGCUUUUGGACUAUUUUCUACUUAUGUGUCUCGAUGUUAACUUUCAUAAAAACAUAGAAACAUAGAAAAUAGGUGUAGGAGUAGGCCAUUCGGCCCUUCGAGCCUGCACCGCCAUUCAAUAUGAUCAUGGUUCAUCAUCCAACUCAGUAUCCUGUACCUGCUUUCUCUCCAUACCCCCUGAUCCCUUUAGCCACAAGGGCCACAUCGAACUCCCUCUUAAAUAUAGCCAAUGAACUGGCCUCAAACUAGAUUCUGUGGCAGAGAAUUCCAGAGAUUCACUACUCUCUGUGUGAAAAAUGUUUUUCUCAUCUCAGUCCUAAAGGUUUUCUGUAAAUUUCAUAAUUCCUGUAAAAUGCUUUGGAACAGUUUGCUUCAUUAAAGGCAUGAUGUAAAUGAAAGUUGCUGUUGUAU